This 479-nucleotide ribosomal RNA is filed under the name uncultured bacterium. RNAcentral describes it as "partial 16S ribosomal RNA". It matches the Rfam family "Bacterial small subunit ribosomal RNA", at positions 29 to 523 of the family's 1533-position model. The record is from RNAcentral.
AACAAACGCUGGCGGCGUGCCUAAUACAUGCAAGUCGAACGGGGAAAGCUUUCGGGUGAGUACUAGUGGCGCACGGGUGAGUAACGCGUGGAUAAUCUGCCCUCGAAUGGGGAAUAACUAGUCGAAAGAUUAGCUAAUACCGCAUAAGACCCCGACUACUGAGGUAGUUGGGGUCCAAGGAGCAAUUCGUUUGAGGAUGAGUCCGCGUAAGAUUAGCUAGUUGGUGAGGUAAUGGCUCACCAAGGCGAUGAUCUUUAACUGGUCGGAGAGGAUGACCAGUCACACUGGAACUGAGACACGGUCCAGACUCCUACGGGAGGCAGCAGUAGGGAAUAUUGGACAAUGGGGGCAACCCUGAUCCAGCGACGCCGCGUGAGCGAUGAAGGCCUUCGGGUCGUAAAGCUCUGUUGUAAGGGAAAAAGUUCUGAUUGUACCUUACGAGAAAGGAUCGGCUAACUUCGUGCCAGCAGCCGCAGUAA